This 253-nucleotide ribosomal RNA is filed under the name uncultured bacterium. RNAcentral describes it as "partial 16S ribosomal RNA". It matches the Rfam family "Bacterial small subunit ribosomal RNA", at positions 524 to 776 of the family's 1533-position model. The record is from RNAcentral.
AACGUAGGACGCGAGCGUUAUCCGGAGUUACUGGGCGUAAAGCGCGGGCAGGCGGUCUGACAAGUCUGAUGUGAAAUCUCCGGGCUCAACCGGGAGAGGCCAUUGGAAACUGACGGGCUGGAGGGCAGUAGAGGUAGGCGGAAUUCCGGGUGGAGUGGUGAAAUGCGUAGAGAUCCGGAGGAACACCAGUGGCGAAGGCGACUACCUGGCCUGUUCUUGACGCUGAGGCGCGAAAGCUAGGGGAGCAAACGGG